Molecule: ribosomal RNA, 1080 nt
Filed under: uncultured organism
Description: bacterial SSU rRNA
Rfam family: Bacterial small subunit ribosomal RNA
Source: RNAcentral
ACGAAUAUUGCGCAAUGGACGAAAGUCUGACGCAGCGACGCCGUGUGAAGGAUGACGCCCUUCGGGGUGUAAACUUCUGUCAGGGUGAAGAAAGGCGAAAGCUUGAUCGAUCCCAGAGGAAGGACCGGCUAACUUCGUGCCAGCAGCCGCGGUAAUACGAAGGGUCCAAGCGUCGUUCGGAAUUACUGGGCUUAAAGCGCGCGUAGGCGGGAUAGUAAGUGUCUUGUGAAAGCCCCCGGCUCAACCGGGGAAUUGCUUGGCAUACUGUUAUCCUUGAGGCAAGUAGGGGUGCAUGGAACUCUAGGUGGAGCGGUGAAAUGCGUAGAUAUCUAGAGGAACGCCAGUAGUGAAAACGGAGCACUGGGCUUGUUCUGACGCUGAGGUGCGAAAGCGUGGGGAGCGAACGGGAUUAGAUGCCCCGGUAGUCCACGCUGUAAACGAUGUCUACUAGGUCGUGGCGGUUCUGACGCCGGCGCGGCCGGAGUGAAAAUUUUAAGUAGACCGCCUGGGGAGUACGGUCGCAAGGCUAAAACUCAAAGGAAUUGACGGGGGCUCACACAAGCGGUGGAGCAUGUGGCUUAAUUCGAAGCAACGCGCAGAACCUUAUCCUGGGUUUGACAUAUUAGGAUGCCCUCCCUGAAAGGGGAGUAAGCUGCCUUCGGGUGAAACUAUUACAGGUGCUGCAUGGCUGUCGUCAGCUCGUGUCGUGAGAUGUCGGGUUAAGUCCCUCAACGAGCGAAACCCUUAUCAUUAGUUACCAGCGGGUCAUGCCGGGGACUCUAAUGAGACUGCCGGUGUUAAACCGGAGGAAGGUGGGGAUGACGUCAAGUCCUCAUGGCCUUUAUGCCCAGGGCUGCACACGUGCUACAAUGGCAUGGACAAACCGACGCAAUACCGUGAGGUGGAGCAAAUCGGACAAACCGUGCCUCAGUUCGGAUUGUAGGCUGCAACUCGCCUACAUGAAGUCGGAAUCGCUAGUAAUCGCAGAUCAGCAAUGCUGCGGUGAAUAUGUUCCUGAGCAUUGUACACACCGCCCGUCAAGUCACGGGAGCCGGGAGUACCUGAAGUCGGGUAGCUAAC